This 503-nucleotide ribosomal RNA is filed under the name uncultured bacterium. Its description in RNAcentral is "partial 16S ribosomal RNA". It matches the Rfam family "Bacterial small subunit ribosomal RNA", at positions 29 to 523 of the family's 1533-position model. The record is from RNAcentral.
AACGAACGCUGGCGGCAGGCUUAACACAUGCAAGUCGAGCGGGGUGAUGGUGCUUGCACUAUCACUUAGCGGCGGACGGGUGAGUAAUGCUUAGGAAUCUGCCUAUUAGUGGGGGACAACAUCUCGAAAGGGAUGCUAAUACCGCAUACGUCCUACGGGAGAAAGCAGGGGAUCACUUGUGACCUUGCGCUAAUAGAUGAGCCUAAGUCGGAUUAGCUAGUUGGUGGGGUAAAGGCCUACCAAGGCGACGAUCUGUAGCGGGUCUGAGAGGAUGAUCCGCCACACUGGGACUGAGACACGGCCCAGACUCCUACGGGAGGCAGCAGUGGGGAAUAUUGGACAAUGGGGGGAACCCUGAUCCAGCCAUGCCGCGUGUGUGAAGAAGGCCUUAUGGUUGUAAAGCACUUUAAGCGAGGAGGAGGCUCUUUUGGUUAAUACCCAAGAUGAGUGGACGUUACUCGCAGAAUAAGCACCGGCUAACUCUGUGCCAGCCGCCGCAGUAA